GGUUAAGCGACUAAGCGUACACGGUGGAUGCCCUGGCAGUCAGAGGCGAUGAAGGACGUGCUAAUCUGCGAUAAGCGUCGGUAAGGUGAUAUGAACCGUUAUAACCGGCGAUUUCCGAAUGGGGAAACCCAGUGUGUUUCGACACACUAUCAUUAACUGAAUCCAUAGGUUAAUGAGGCGAACCGGGGGAACUGAAACAUCUAAGUACCCCGAGGAAAAGAAAUCAACCGAGAUUCCCCCAGUAGCGGCGAGCGAACGGGGAGCAGCCCAGAGCCUGAAUCAGUGUGUGUGUUAGUGGAAGCGUCUGGAAAGGCGCGCGAUACAGGGUGACAGCCCCGUACACAAAAAUGCACAUGCUGUGAGCUCGAUGAGUAGGGCGGGACACGUGGUAUCCUGUCUGAAUAUGGGGGGACCAUCCUCCAAGGCUAAAUACUCCUGACUGACCGAUAGUGAACCAGUACCGUGAGGGAAAGGCGAAAAGAACCCCGGCGAGGGGAGUGAAAAAGAACCUGAAACCGUGUACGUACAAGCAGUGGGAGCACGCUUAGGCGUGUGACUGCGUACCUUUUGUAUAAUGGGUCAGCGACUUAUAUUCUGUAGCAAGGUUAACCGAAUAGGGGAGCCGAAGGGAAACCGAGUCUUAACUGGGCGUUAAGUUGCAGGGUAUAGACCCGAAACCCGGUGAUCUAGCCAUGGGCAGGUUGAAGGUUGGGUAACACUAACUGGAGGACCGAACCGACUAAUGUUGAAAAAUUAGCGGAUGACUUGUGGCUGGGGGUGAAAGGCCAAUCAAACCGGGAGAUAGCUGGUUCUCCCCGAAAGCUAUUUAGGUAGCGCCUCGUGAAUUCAUCUCCGGGGGUAGAGCACUGUUUCGGCAAGGGGGUCAUCCCGACUUACCAACCCGAUGCAAACUGCGAAUACCGGAGAAUGUUAUCACGGGAGACACACGGCGGGUGCUAACGUCCGUCGUGAAGAGGGAAACAACCCAGACCGCCAGCUAAGGUCCCAAAGUCAUGGUUAAGUGGGAAACGAUGUGGGAAGGCCCAGACAGCCAGGAUGUUGGCUUAGAAGCAGCCAUCAUUUAAAGAAAGCGUAAUAGCUCACUGGUCGAGUCGGCCUGCGCGGAAGAUGUAACGGGGCUAAACCAUGCACCGAAGCUGCGGCAGCGACGCUUAUGCGUUGUUGGGUAGGGGAGCGUUCUGUAAGCCUGUGAAGGUGUGCUGUGAGGCAUGCUGGAGGUAUCAGAAGUGCGAAUGCUGACAUAAGUAACGAUAAAGCGGGUGAAAAGCCCGCUCGCCGGAAGACCAAGGGUUCCUGUCCAACGUUAAUCGGGGCAGGGUGAGUCGACCCCUAAGGCGAGGCCGAAAGGCGUAGUCGAUGGGAAACAGGUUAAUAUUCCUGUACUUGGUGUUACUGCGAAGGGGGGACGGAGAAGGCUAUGUUGGCCGGGCGACGGUUGUCCCGGUUUAAGCGUGUAGGCUGGUUUUCCAGGCAAAUCCGGAAAAUCAAGGCUGAGGCGUGAUGACGAGGCACUACGGUGCUGAAGCAACAAAUGCCCUGCUUCCAGGAAAAGCCUCUAAGCAUCAGGUAACAUCAAAUCGUACCCCAAACCGACACAGGUGGUCAGGUAGAGAAUACCAAGGCGCUUGAGAGAACUCGGGUGAAGGAACUAGGCAAAAUGGUGCCGUAACUUCGGGAGAAGGCACGCUGAUAUGUAGGUGANNNNNNNNNNNNNNNNNNNNNNNNNNNNNNNNNNNNNNNNNNNNNNNNNNNNNNNNNNNNNNNNNNNNNNNNNNNNNNNNNNNNNNNNNNNNNNNNNNNNNNNNNNNNNNNNNNNNNNNNNNNNNNNNNNNNNGCGAAGCUCUUGAUCGAAGCCCCGGUAAACGGCGGCCGUAACUAUAACGGUCCUAAGGUAGCGAAAUUCCUUGUCGGGUAAGUUCCGACCUGCACGAAUGGCGUAAUGAUGGCCAGGCUGUCUCCACCCGAGACUCAGUGAAAUUGAACUCGCUGUGAAGAUGCAGUGUACCCGCGGCAAGACGGAAAGACCCCGUGAACCUUUACUAUAGCUUGACACUGAACAUUGAGCCUUGAUGUGUAGGAUAGGUGGGAGGCUUAGAAGUGUGGACGCCAGUCUGCAUGGAGCCGACCUUGAAAUACCACCCUUUAAUGUUUGAUGUUCUAACGUUGACCCGUAAUCCGGGUUGCGGACAGUGUCUGGUGGGUAGUUUGACUGGGGCGGUCUCCUCCUAAAGAGUAACGGAGGAGCACGAAGGUUGGCUAAUCCUGGUCGGACAUCAGGAGGUUAGUGCAAUGGCAUAAGCCAGCUUGACUGCGAGCGUGACGGCGCGAGCAGGUGCGAAAGCAGGUCAUAGUGAUCCGGUGGUUCUGAAUGGAAGGGCCAUCGCUCAACGGAUAAAAGGUACUCCGGGGAUAACAGGCUGAUACCGCCCAAGAGUUCAUAUCGACGGCGGUGUUUGGCACCUCGAUGUCGGCUCAUCACAUCCUGGGGCUGAAGUAGGUCCCAAGGGUAUGGCUGUUCGCCAUUUAAAGUGGUACGCGAGCUGGGUUUAGAACGUCGUGAGACAGUUCGGUCCCUAUCUGCCGUGGGCGCUGGAGAACUGAGGGGGGCUGCUCCUAGUACGAGAGGACCGGAGUGGACGCAUCACUGGUGUUCGGGUUGUCAUGCCAAUGGCACUGCCCGGUAGCUAAAUGCGGAAGAGAUAAGUGCUGAAAGCAUCUAAGCACGAAACUUGCCCCGAGAUGAGUUCUCCCUGACUCCUUGAGAGUCCUGAAGGAACGUUGAAGACGACGACGUUGAUAGGCCGGGUGUGUAAGCGCAGCGAUGCGUUGAGCUAACCGGUACUAAUGAACCGUGAGGCUUAACCUU
RNAcentral lists this ribosomal RNA (2887 nucleotides) under Escherichia coli. Its description in RNAcentral is "23S ribosomal RNA". It matches the Rfam family "Bacterial large subunit ribosomal RNA". Lineage: Bacteria; Pseudomonadati; Pseudomonadota; Gammaproteobacteria; Enterobacterales; Enterobacteriaceae. The record is from RNAcentral.